GUUCAAAGUCUGUGUCUUUUUCUUCCUCCAACAGGUUUUUAGGAGAUUUUCGAUAAUGGGUUCAGAGCAAAACGACAGCUUCUCCCCCUCAGAGCCGAAGCUCUGCGUCAACGGCUGCGGCUUCUUCGGAUCACCAUCGAACAUGAACCUCUGCUCCAAGUGCUACCGCGACAUCAGAGCCACCGAGGAGCAAGCCGCCUCCGCUAAAGCCGCCGUCGACAAAUCUCUAAACCCUAACAAACACCACACCAAACCACCGCAACAGAGCCUGGAGACCGCUCCGGUGCCAUCCAUUUAGAAGCAUUUAUUGUCAUCAUCUCCUUCAGCACCACUCUCACUCUCUUCCUCAUUAUCAUAUGAUCAAAUUCUUCGCUUUCUCCACCACAUCAUCUUCCUCAUUGUCUCCUUCGUCACUCCCUACAUCAUCAUCUUCUUCCAUGCUAUGAUCAUCUUCGCCAUAUUCUACCCAUCAGAUAAAUCAUCAUCUUCACUCUCCCUUUCCACCUAUAAUAGCAUCCUCGAACCAAAUAAAUUCACUUACACACAUCCAUCUAAAUAACUUAAACUAGACAAAAGCAACAACAAAAUAUAUAUCUCAUGGUCGCUUAUCUGUUCUGAAUCACUUUCAUAAAGUCUUGCUCUUUUGGAACUCUUUGAUCUUCCCGCCACUGUAAACACUCAGAAUGGUAGAAAAUGUAAAAGUGAAAAGGUAGAGAUCGUGGGUGUAUCAGAAGAACGGUUUAGAGACAAAUGUUAGUGGUGAUUUAAUUUUGUUUUUUCAAUUAAUUUUAAAAUACAAAUCAUGUGUCAAAAUUUGAUUGGCAUGCGACUUGCGCUUAAAUAUACAAUGGAUUAACAAAAAGUUGGAAGUUCACGUUUCAUUGGCCUCCACUUGUUCUGGAAUUUAUCCGAGCCUAUGCCUAGCCUCCCUGUUUGUUUAUAGAUUUAAUCCAUUGCUGACAAUAAAAUUAAAAAAUAUUAAACCUAAUUAAAUACUAUAUGUCGAAUUUCAUGUCGACAAAACACAUUAUCGACCGUAAGCUUAAACAGUCACAGACCCCUUAAUACUAUACAGAGAAUUUCAUGUAUGUCAAGAAAAAAUAGAAUUUCAUUUCAAUUAUUUCCUGAUUAUAAUUUUCAGUAUCAUAGUUUCUAGGCCUGGGCAUCCAGGUCUUCGGAUCGGGUUCGGAUCGGGUAUUGUCGGGUCCGGAUCUUUCGGGUCCUAGCAAUUUAGACCCUUAUAGGUACCUAUAACUUUUCGGAUCGGUUCCGGGUCGGGUCUUGUCGGGUCUGGGUCGGUUCGGGUCUAUAAUUUCAAUACCCGUUAAAUACCCAAAAUUUUCGGGUAUAUUUCGGAUCCGGGUCGGUUCGGGUAUUUAGGACCCGAAAUAGACCCGAAGUACCCGAACUGGAUCCGAAAACUCUAAAAAUACCUGAAGAACCGCAAAAAUACCCAAAAAUUUAUCCAAAAUCAGACCUGAAAACUCAAAACAUACCCGAAUACCCAAAUGAUAUUUUCUAAAAAUCUAAAAUUUCACCAAAAACCUACAAUUAUACCCGAAAAUCCAAACCCGAAACUUAAAAAAAAAAUCUGAAAUGCCAAAAAUAUACCCAAUCACCCAAAUAUAACUAGUAUAUACAAUUAUUUGCGGGUACUUCGGAUACCCGAACGGGUCUCGGGUAGGACCCGGACCCGAACCGAGACCCACGAGUCCAAAAAAAAAGACCCAAUAGAUACUUAGCAUGGACCCGGACCUGGAUCCGAACCUGUAUUUUCGGGUCGGUUCCGGUUCGGGUGUUCGGGUCCGGAUAAAAUGCCCAGGCCUAAUCCAUAUUUUAUCACCAAUGUUUACUAAUGGGCAGUGGCGGUUUGGUUGAAAAGGGUAUUAAUGAACCCACAAAUCUGGGUUCAAAGCCCCUUUAUGACACUUUUAAAAGUUUCUGACACCUCAUAAAUAUUUUUCUGGGUUCACCCCUGCUACUGGCAGUGGCUCUACCCUGACACUAUCGUUUACUACUGGAAUCAGAGCUACUCCCUCACCGUCCCAUUCCUCUUCCAUGAACGGUGUGUAUCUGUUCCCGCAUGGUGGCCCAAUGUUAUUCUUGUGGAAUAUUCUGCACAACACAUAUGCAUCUUGCUGCAUUCAAACAAAGAAUUGAGAUGAGAUAGGAUCCCUUAGACAGUACGUAGACAGUAUCAGAUAAAAGCUUAUUCGAAAGUUAAAAUCUUCCUGAUACAUAAGCAAACUAGUGUGGAAGCACAAGCACAAGGAAUCAGAAAUACAUCACAGCAGAAGACAAAAAAAUGAAGCUGGACAUAAUAGAGCUAAACUAAAAAACUUCAGAUAACUAAACACAGAACAACAUACUUCAUUCCGUGAAAUUUAAGCAAACAAAACUGAAGGACAAGAUAGCAAGAUGGUCUUAAGGGAUCUGAAUAAAAAAAACUAGACUUUGCCCAAAUGUUAAGUCGAUUAGAUGGGAAUUAUAUUUACAGUGUUAAACCUAAACAUAGCAAAAGAUAGGUCCGUAUCGACAUUUUCCCAGCCAAUGAAUCAGAGCCCAUAAAGCUGAAUUCUUUUCUCAGAAUUACACAAGGCGAAAAAUAAAACCGGACAAAGCAACACUAAACUCAAAACUUAAGAUAACCAAACACCGAUCUUCUUGUCCUCAAACACAAGCAAACUAAUGUGGUAGCACAAGUUAGCAAGAGCUCCUUAAGCGACCUCCUCCAACAACAAAACUCGAUCAAUCCCAACCCAAAUCAGCUCCAUCGACGCCGCCACCGCCACUGGCUACGUCGUCCUCAUCCUCUCUCCCAACUCUAUCUAUUUCCCGUCGUCUCCCUCGCCAUCAUGUCUCUCGGCGCCGUCGUCACCACCGCGAACACUCUCAACACAGCCGGUGAGAGGCAGUGAUUCACGUUGAGAGCAACAGAGAGAGAAGAUCAACAGAGAGAAAUCAAUCGGUGCAACCGUCGAGAGAGAGAUGAAGUUAAACGCAAAACUCUCUCGUUGCCACACGUGUCUCGCAAGAGGCGGUUCUUAAAACCCCUAAUUAGGAUCCGUUGCUUAACUUAAUUUCCUUUUUUCUUUUUCUUUAAUUACUAAAUACCUUAAAAACUCCACUUAAGAGCUCCCGUUAAAGAUGGCGUGACACUGUUGCCAAGACACCUCUUCACUCAUCAAAUUUAAUAGUGAUUUUGCCUAAACUAAACAUGUAGAGCUUGACGCGCCACCCUCCUUAUUUAUUUACUCUUCAUGUUCUGUCGUCGUCAACCAGCGAAGCUGGCUCCACAAACCAAACCCGGUUCAAAUAAACCGAUUAUUAUACACUAAAAACUAGACCAGCUUUAUCGCAAACCACAAAGUCACCAAACACCCAGUAAAAGUCCGACAACCCCACCCAUUAUCUAUCACUCACUCAACUUUAUAUCACACAAUAAAAAGUUAUCAAUCACUACGUAACCGUUCGAUUUAUCAAAAGAUGACGUCGUUACCUCCCAGUUGUGUAUCAUCGCACGACUAUAACCAGAAGAUGCAUUAAAUCUCCCCUGCGCCUUCUUCAUAUACGGCGGAAUCAUUCGGGCACAGAAUUACAAAAGACAAAAGACAAAAGUAAAAGUACCAAAAAAAAAAAAGUCACUUUGGUUUGGUUUCUGUACUUUUGUCUUAUCAAAUCUCUCUCUCUAACGAAUCCAAAGAGGUCUUUGCUAGCGUUCUCCGUCUCCGAUCAAGGGCAGUUUCGUCACAUCGACACUUCUUUUAAUAUUAAAUUUUUUUUAAGUCUUUCGCUUGAGUAACAAGCCAGAAAUCUACCUUUUAUUUUUCUUUUACGGAUAUGUUCAUUUUACUUUAUUUUCUCGGCGAGAAUAUGUCAAAAGAAGAUUACAAAUAAAACCCCAACCGUGAAGCCCUGAUUUAGAACCACAUAGCUCUUCUCCAUCUCUGCAUCUGUUCUUCGGUUCAAAGUCUGUGUCUUUUUCUUCCUCCAACAGGUUUUUAGGAGAUUUUCGAUAAUGGGUUCAGAGCAAAACGACAGCUUCUCCCCCUCAGAGCCGAAGCUCUGCGUCAACGGCUGCGGCUUCUUCGGAUCACCAUCGAACAUGAACCUCUGCUCCAAGUGCUACCGCGACAUCCGAGCCACCGAGGAGCAAGCCGCCUCCGCCAAAGCCGCCGUCGACAAAUCUCUAAACCCUAACAAACACCACACCAAACCACCGCAACAGAGCCUGGAGACCGCUCCGGAGCCAUCCUCAUCGGCGAGCGGCGGAGAUUCCUCCGUAGCUUCCUCAGAUCCGCCGAGGGGGACGAGGUGCUUGAGCUGUAACAAGAAGGUGGGGGUUACGGGG
RNAcentral lists this long non-coding RNA (4351 nucleotides) under Brassica napus (rape). Its description in RNAcentral is "long non-coding RNA (BNAP_LNC022288)". The record is from RNAcentral. Lineage: Eukaryota; Viridiplantae; Streptophyta; Magnoliopsida; Brassicales; Brassicaceae.